GUAGUGUAGCAAUGAGCAAAGGAGGCAAGUCGAGCAAGGCAAGUGGUGAUUGGUGGGCUGAAGUAGCAGCUCUUUUCUGAGGUGUUGUGUUGCUGGGGAAGUUAUAAGCAACGCGUGUCAUUUGGGUGUUACGGAUGGCGGGUGAGCUGAACACAGCACCUGGAAGUGAUGUAGGCCGGGUGGGAGGCUGUCGAGGGAAAGGAGUGCAAGAUGGGGAUUGGUGCGGGCAGGCUGUGGCAUCAGGCGGCAUCUCAGGAGGUGCCUUUUCACUUGGCUUUUUGCAGGUGCCGCAUGCCUAUGAGAGGUCUGAGAAGGUGGGGCAGCGGCCAGCAUCUGAGACCAGAGAAUGCUGUGGUCCGUCGUCGAGCUCUUCAGUUCUGUAGUUUGACGCUUCGCUUCAGGCUUCAUGGAGCCAGGCAGCAAGACGUGCGGCGGCAGGGCGAGGGCUGUAGCUGCUGCGGCGGAUCUGUAAGCGGAGGUUCCGGUUCCGGUACAACUUUGCCCCGCAGCCUCACGGGGUUAUCUCCCCGCAGCGGUGCCGUAAGGAAGGGAUGAGACGUUUUCCAGCACCAGCCAGAGCGUUCAGUGUUACGCGAAGAAUCUGUUCAAAAUGGUAUCGAUGUCUUCUCAGUGUCUCGUGAUGCUCAAGAGAUGCCCCCCGGCCCGGGUUUGCCUGCCGGUCGUUAAGCGUGGUGAAGGGCAACUUCUGUUCCCGAGGUGGUGCCUACAGUACAGCUAUCUCUUCGAAGGCAGUUUGGUUUAGGUCAGAGAAUGUUUAGCCUGGACUGAAUCAGCCUCUGUUUCUGUUUCUGGAAAUCGUCGGUCCUGUGCAUCAAGCCCGGAAAAAAGGAAAUAUGAACCAAAGGACCUGGGGCCUGCAGGGCUAGGAAAAUAUUUGAGAAGAGGUUCAGCGGGGAAAUGACUGUUUGUCUGUGGGGCGUCCAGGCAAGCAACCCAGCUGCUAGAAAGCGGCGCUGUCCCCAGGGUGGCCUCGGCGGUCCCGUCGGAGUCGGGGGAACAAGGACAAGGCAGGGUGAAGCAUCUGGCCUGCCGUGUGGACCGUGACUGUACAAAGCACGUGUGAUGCACUGCAAGUUUACCUGUUUAAACUGUGAGUUAAAGAAGGUGUGCAGUUGCUUUGUAAACAGCCGACGCUCUAAAGCUACACCCAUCUAAUUGCUAGCUGUAUUAAAUCUAUCGUAUUGCUGUUUCUGCAUUAAAAAAGAAAAAACCAACACACCUAUGUAAGCACG
Phalacrocorax carbo (great cormorant) is the source of this 1253-nucleotide non-coding RNA. The record is from RefSeq and is a predicted model, not a curated record. Lineage: Eukaryota; Metazoa; Chordata; Aves; Suliformes; Phalacrocoracidae.